Molecule: non-coding RNA, 71 nt
Filed under: Comamonas aquatica
Lineage: Bacteria; Pseudomonadati; Pseudomonadota; Betaproteobacteria; Burkholderiales; Comamonadaceae
Also listed under: 1 other name
Description: Xanthine-I sequence
Rfam family: Xanthine riboswitch aptamer (NMT1 RNA)
About the family: Later it was reported as a ncRNA that recognised Xanthine.
Source: RNAcentral
UGCACGAGUAGAAGCGUUCAGCGGUGCGGCACAGCCUGGCAGGCUGGCCACCGUCGGAAAUUGCUCAGCGU